This 253-nucleotide ribosomal RNA is filed under the name uncultured bacterium. RNAcentral's name for it is "partial 16S ribosomal RNA". It matches the Rfam family "Bacterial small subunit ribosomal RNA", at positions 524 to 776 of the family's 1533-position model. The record is from RNAcentral.
UACAGAGGUCCCAAGCGUUGUUCGGAUUCACUGGGCGUAAAGGGUGCGUAGGCGGUCGGAUAAGUCUGAUGUGAAAUCUUCGAGCUCAACUCGGAAACUGCAUCGGAAACUAUUCGGCUGGAGGAUUGGAGGGGAGACUGGAAUUCUCGGUGUAGCAGUGAAAUGCGCAGAUAUCAGGAGGAACACCAGUGGCGAAGGCGAGUCCCUGGACAGGUCCUGACGCUGAGGCACGAAAGCUAGGGGAGCAAACAGG